GUGCUUAACACAUGCAAGUGGGGCGACGAACCAGGGCUUGCCCUGGGGCAAAGCCGCGAACGGGUGAGUAACACGUGGGUCACCUGCCUCGAUGACUGGGACAACCCGAGGAAACUCGGGCUAAUACCGGAUGUGCCCGCAAGGGGAAAGGAAGCUUCGGCCUCCGCAUCGAGAUGGGCCCGCGGCCCAUUAGCUUGUUGGUGAGGUAAAGGCUCACCAAGGCUCCGAUGGGUAGCUGGUCUGAGAGGACGAUCAGCCACACUGGGACUGAGACACGGCCCAGA
This 284-nucleotide ribosomal RNA is filed under the name uncultured bacterium. RNAcentral describes it as "partial 16S ribosomal RNA". It matches the Rfam family "Bacterial small subunit ribosomal RNA", at positions 44 to 335 of the family's 1533-position model. The record is from RNAcentral.